This 406-nucleotide ribosomal RNA is filed under the name uncultured bacterium. Its description in RNAcentral is "partial 16S ribosomal RNA". It matches the Rfam family "Bacterial small subunit ribosomal RNA", at positions 29 to 526 of the family's 1533-position model. The record is from RNAcentral.
AAUGAACGCUGGCGGCAUGCCUAACACAUGCAAGUCGAACGAGGGGCGGACGGGUGAGUCAUGUCUGGGAAACUGCCUGAUAGAGGGGGAUAACUACUGGAAACGGUAGCUACUACCUCAUACCAUCAGAUGUGCCCAGAUGGGAUUAGCUUGUUGGUGGGGUAACGGCUCACCAAGGCGACGAUCCCGAGCUGGUCUGAGAGGAUGACCAGCCACACUGGAACUGAGACACGGUCCAGACUCCUACGGGAGGCAGCAGUGGGGAAUAUUGCACAAUGGGCGCAAGCCUGAUGCAGCCAUGCCGCGUGUGUGAAGAAGGCCUUCGGGUUGUAAAGUACUGUCAGCGGGGAGGCGUUACCCGCAGAAGAAGCACCGGCUAACUCCGUGCCAGCCGCCGCGGUAAUUC